GUCGAGAAUUUUUCACAAUGGGCGAAAGCCUGAUGGAGCGACGCCGCGUGGGGGAUGAAUGGCUUCGGCCCGUAAACCCCUGUCAUGGGCGAUCAACCCUUUCCCGCCAAUACCGGGAAAGCUGAUAGUAGCUCAAGAGGAAGGGACGGCUAACUCUGUGCCAGCAGCCGCGGUAAUACAGAGGUCCCAAGCGUUGUUCGGAUUCACUGGGCGUAAAGGGUGCGUAGGCGGCCGGGUAAGUCUGAUGUGAAAGCCCGCAGCUCAACUGCGGAACGGCAUCGGAUACUAUCCGGCUCGAGGGUUGGAGGGGGGACUGGAAUUCUCGGUGUAGCAGUGAAAUGCGUAGAUAUCGAGAGGAACACCAGUGGCGAAGGCGAGUCCCUGGACAACUCCUGACGCUGAGGCACGAAAGCUGGGGGAGCAAACAGGAUUAGAAACCCCAGUAGUCC
RNAcentral lists this ribosomal RNA (449 nucleotides) under uncultured bacterium. Its description in RNAcentral is "bacterial SSU rRNA". It matches the Rfam family "Bacterial small subunit ribosomal RNA", at positions 354 to 796 of the family's 1533-position model. The record is from RNAcentral.